CUGCUCCUAGUACGAGAGGACCGGAGUGGACGAACCUCUGGUGUUCCGGUUGUCACGCCAGUGGCAUUGCCGGGUAGCUAUGUUCGGACGGGAUAACCGCUGAAAGCAUCUAAGCGGGAAGCCCCCCUCGAGAUGAGAUCUCACCGGACCUUCGGGUCCCUGAAGGGCCCUCGUAGACUACGAGGUUGAUAGGCAGGGUGUGUAAGCGCUGUGAGGCGUUGAGCUAACCUGUACUAAUUGCCCGUGCGGCUUGACCAUAUAACCGAG
This 267-nucleotide ribosomal RNA is filed under the name Gammaproteobacteria bacterium. RNAcentral describes it as "partial 23S ribosomal RNA". It matches the Rfam family "Bacterial large subunit ribosomal RNA", at positions 2672 to 2925 of the family's 2925-position model. The record is from RNAcentral. Lineage: Bacteria; Pseudomonadati; Pseudomonadota; Gammaproteobacteria.